CUCCGCUGAUCUGCAACAGAUGCAAACAUUUUGUUCUAGUUUCACCGAAUAGGGGAACAGUGGCCGCCAAGGAUAUCUUCACCGAGCCCUCUCGUGGCCACCAACAGGGCUUCCAGACCUGGUACCGGGUUUGAUCUCCAGAACUGGGAAAACAAAAGAGAAAUGAAUGCAGCUAUCAAGUUCGAGAAGGGUGGAGAUGCGUAUCUGUCAUCGGUAAGGUGUCUUUCAAUUAAUAGGUAAUAUCGAAAUGAAUUGACAUUGGAAUAUC
RNAcentral lists this long non-coding RNA (268 nucleotides) under Mus spicilegus (steppe mouse). Its description in RNAcentral is "lncRNA (ENSMSIG00000020865.1)". Lineage: Eukaryota; Metazoa; Chordata; Mammalia; Rodentia; Muridae. The record is from RNAcentral.